RNAcentral lists this ribosomal RNA (117 nucleotides) under Intrasporangium sp. The record is from RNAcentral. Lineage: Bacteria; Bacillati; Actinomycetota; Actinomycetes; Micrococcales; Intrasporangiaceae.
UACGGCUGCCAUAGCGAAGGGGAAACGCCCGGUCCCAUUCCGAACCCGGAAGCUAAGCCCUUCAGCGCCGAUGGUACUGCACCGGUGACGGUGUGGGAGAGUAGGACACAGCCGGAC